This 116-nucleotide ribosomal RNA is filed under the name Panthera pardus (leopard). Lineage: Eukaryota; Metazoa; Chordata; Mammalia; Carnivora; Felidae. The record is from RNAcentral.
GUCUACGGCCAAACCACCCUGAACGCGCCCAAUCUCGUCUGAUCUCAGAAGCUAAGCAGGGUCAGGCCUGGUUAGUACUUGGAUGGGAGAAUAAAAGAGCCCUUGCACUGUUUAUU